This 1263-nucleotide long non-coding RNA is filed under the name Anthonomus grandis grandis. Its description in RNAcentral is "uncharacterized LOC126743519". Lineage: Eukaryota; Metazoa; Arthropoda; Insecta; Coleoptera; Curculionidae. The record is from RNAcentral.
UAUUGCUUUCGAGAAAUGAAUAAUUUCUUGGAUAUGCAAUACUGAUGAGUUCAUAAUGAGGACGAAACAAUAUGUUGCUCAUAAGAUGCUAAUAAUAUGGUUUCUUUUUCUAGUGAUCCAUUUGUAUUCCAGAUUCUAUUUUAAUCGUGAUCAAUCAGCAGCCUUGAAUUUGAAGAAAACGCAUUCAACGGACUUGACAAUGACAAGUGGAUAGAUCCUUUUAUAGCAAGAAAUUGGAUGGCUUAAAAUCUAAUUAUUGGUCUAUAAAAAAAAAACAAAACAAGAAGUUUUAUGGUAUAAUCCAAAGCUGCAAAACUUCGACUGGAAUGAAUUGAAUGAAUUGACGAAACAGUGGACUGCCAAGGCAGUUGUGCAUAUAGGUCUCCUGAUGGACCCGUCAGGCCCCACCUGGGGUUACCAGAGCCCAACGGCCUUAGAGAAACUGAUAAGGCUCUCUGGUCUGAAGGACUUAAAGUCGCUUGGUACACUGAAAGUGUUACCCAAGUAUUUGAACCUGGCGCGCGUGAGUGCUGGGCACUCCCCGACUACAUGGUCAACGGUUUCAUCCUCCUCACAGCACCAUCGUCAUUCCGGGUUGUCCGCAAUACCGAUAGUAUGGAGAUGGCUUCUUAAGUGCCAGUGACCGGUUAAAAGACCUGUCACUAGCCGAAAACUUCGACUGAAAUCCGAGGACAAUUAAGAAAAACAUUCAAAGGACUCAAAAAUGGGCAAGAGGAUUCAUCCAAUUGCGACAGGAUUUAAUGCACAGGAAUAAGAAAAUAAUUACACAUUCGAGGGUAGAUGAAUUUGGUAAGAUACCAUUAAUAGCAACUUUCUUGGCGAUUAAGAACAACUAGUUAUCUGAAGCCAACACCAUACCAAGGGUCGUGUCCUACUAAGUCGUUGUUCACCGGUCCCAAGGAACUCACGUCCACAAGAUAUUCGAGAACCGCAAACAGAAUUAAAUUCAUAAAAAUAUAAGAUAGAGAAGGACCAUUCAACUUGGCUUAUUGACUGAAGACCGUUUUUUACUGAGAACGCCUACUGUACAAUAAUUGAGCUCACGGUACAGUUUCUCCGGGAGAACGUAGACCAGAAAAUGUUCCAAAAUAUAACACAUGUAUGUAGUAUAGACGUAUAAAUAUAUGCAUUUGAAAUAAAACGUUUAAUUAUUCAAUUUUUAUGAUAUAUUAAUUUAUGAAUUAUACUAAUUCUAUGAUUAAAUUAAUUAACUUAAAAAAUAUUUAAAAAUAAAUAAAAUAA